CCACUCUCAGGAUCGCACCUGGAGAGUUUCCAGUACUCUACCAGUCUUGACUAUGGGAGGGAGAGUCAAACAGAGGUAUACCCAUUCUAUUUUUAGCUUGGGCAGUGGCUAGCAGGUGGAAGGCAAUCUGCUACAAGU
Molecule: small nucleolar RNA, 138 nt
Filed under: Ornithorhynchus anatinus (platypus)
Lineage: Eukaryota; Metazoa; Chordata; Mammalia; Monotremata; Ornithorhynchidae
Source: RNAcentral